AAACACCCGCUCUGACCUCUUCAAACAGCCCAAUCACUUCCACAAGGUUACACAGCUAACAAGAAGCUGGGCUGUGAUUUUAACGCGAACUGAUGAAGCUCUAACCCAGCACCCUUGACCAUGAGGCUACGUGAUACACCUUGAAUCUCUGAGCUCUGAGUCUAUUCUGGGGCAGAAACGCAAGGCUUGCAUUUUACAUGUUGCUGUGAUGACUUAGUGAAGACCGGCCGGCGUCCAAGACUGCAGCAAGGCCUCCGGUUUAUGUCUUGGAGAAGCAAGGAGUGAUCACAGCCUGGAGCUCAGGGUCACCGGACACUAACCCCCUCGGCUAAACUGGGGAGAACACUCUGAUGUCACAGGUUAUCUCUUCCAGAGAUUCAUCUGCAUCACCCAGAGAAACGUGGAGAAUGGAGGGAAUCUUCUAGAUUUACUUGAUCAGAAGAGAAGAUGUCUGGGUCCCCAUGACACCAAUGGUACUCACAGCCCCAACACGGCUGACUGCCCCAGAGAGGAUUUUGCCUCAGAAAGAUGUUCUCAAGUGUCAGCUUCUCCUACACGAAAGGCCAGGUUUCUUCACCCAACCUGGGUCUCCAGCACUGCCUCCUGCAUCCAAGUCAGGUGUGCUCUUCUGGAUCCUUCUCUGACCUAUCAUUUUGACAUGGAUUAUUAGAAGUAAAGAAAGCCAUGGCACCUGUGAACCAGAAGGCACAAUUAGACUCAGUAGCGGUCACAAUCUGCAAACGUUCAGGUUCUUACGGAAUCAUUAUUGAGUCGAGCUGGAGCAUCAAGCUUGAACAAGUAUAGACUUUGAGAAAAACAAACACGCUACAGAAAAGCCAUCUGCAAUCAUGAAAUACCGAGGGGAGAUGAAGGAUUCUGAAACAUACUUGGGAAAUAAAUGGACAGCCCGUGGUCCUCCAGAAAUAAUGCCAGACGAUGAGGCUGAUGUGAAGGAGUAUGGAAAUCUCAAAAGCCCUUGAACAACAGGAAAAAAAGCACACGUCAAAUAGCGCGUCACAGUGGAAAUUGCUACUAGAAAAAAAAGAAGCAUUAUGAGCAAGGAUAGACCAUUAGAAGAUCUAUUGUUAUGAUGGAGAACUUGCUUGUAGAGGAAGCGAGCAGAAUACAGAUGUAAAUAUGUAUGAGGAAAUAAACCACAUUAAACCGGAAUACAGUGCAAUUUUAGUUCCACUAAAGAACAUAGUAUACGAUACACCUGGAAGGAAAUAAUA
Molecule: long non-coding RNA, 1232 nt
Filed under: Canis lupus familiaris (dog)
Lineage: Eukaryota; Metazoa; Chordata; Mammalia; Carnivora; Canidae
Description: lncRNA (ENSCAFG00000056227.1)
Source: RNAcentral